GUCGAGAAUCUUUCACAAUGGGGGCAACCCUGAUGGAGCGACGCCGCGUGGAGGAUAAGGUCUUCGGAUUGUAAACUCCUGUCAUGCGAGAACAAGGUACUCAGGCUAAUAACCUGAUUGUUUGAUGGUAUCGCAAGAGGAAGAGACGGCUAACUCUGUGCCAGCAGCCGCGGUAAUACAGAGGUCUCAAGCGUUGUUCGGAAUCACUGGGCGUAAAGGGUGCGUAGGCUGCGCCGUAAGUCAGAUGUGAAAGCUCAGGGCUCAACCCUGAAAUUGCAUCCGAUACUGCGGCGCUUGAGAAAUGAAGAGGAGUCUAGAAUUUUCGGUGUAGCAGUGAAAUGCGUAGAUAUCGAAAGGAAUACCAAAGGCGAAGGCAGGACUCUGGGCAUUUUCUGACGCUGAUGCACGAAGGCCAGGGUAGCGAACGGGAUUAGAUACCCUAGUAGUCC
RNAcentral lists this ribosomal RNA (449 nucleotides) under uncultured bacterium. Its description in RNAcentral is "bacterial SSU rRNA". It matches the Rfam family "Bacterial small subunit ribosomal RNA", at positions 354 to 796 of the family's 1533-position model. The record is from RNAcentral.